AAACUGGGAUUAGAUACCCCACUAUGCCUGGCCCUAAAUCUUGAUACUUAUCUUACCAAAGUAUCCGCCAGAGAACUACGAGCGCAAACGCUUAAAACUCUAAGGACUUGGCGGUGCCCUAAACCCACCUAGAGGAGCCUGUUCUAUAAUCGAUAACCCACGAUUAACCCAACCGCCCCUUGCCAGACACAGCCUACAUACCGCCGUCGCCAGCCCACCUCGAAUGAGAGUACAGCAGUGAGCGCAACAGCAUUCCCGCUAACAAGACAGGUCAAGGUAUAGCCCAUGGGGCGGAAGAAAUGGGCUACAUUCCCUAUCACACUAGGGCAACACGAAAAGAAGCAUGAAACUGCUUCUAGAAGGAGGAUUUAGCAGUAAAAUGAGAUAAUAAAGCCCAUUUUAAGCCGGCCCUAGGGCACGUACAUACCGCCCGUCACCCUC
This 441-nucleotide ribosomal RNA is filed under the name Aix galericulata (mandarin duck). RNAcentral describes it as "partial 12S ribosomal RNA". It matches the Rfam family "Bacterial small subunit ribosomal RNA", at positions 769 to 1404 of the family's 1533-position model. The record is from RNAcentral. Lineage: Eukaryota; Metazoa; Chordata; Aves; Anseriformes; Anatidae.